Molecule: ribosomal RNA, 459 nt
Filed under: uncultured bacterium
Lineage: Bacteria
Description: bacterial SSU rRNA
Rfam family: Bacterial small subunit ribosomal RNA
Source: RNAcentral
UACGGAAGGCAGCAGUGGGGAAUAUUGCACAAUGGGCGAAAGCCUGAUGCAGCUAUGCCGCGUGUAUGAAGAAGGCCUUAGGGUUGUAAAGUACUUUCAUCGGGGAGGAAAAAACAAAACUAAUAAUUUUAUUUCUUGACGUUACCCGAAAAAGAAGCACCGGCUAACUCCGUGCCAGCAGCCGCGGUAAUACGGAGGGUGCUAGCGUUAAUCAGAAUUACUGGGCGUAAAGAGCACGUAGGUGGUUUUUUAAAGUCAGAUGUGAAAUCCCUGGGCUUAACCUGGAACUGCAUUUUGAAACUGAAAUACUAGAGUAUCGUAGAGGGAGGUAGAAUUCUAGGUGUAGCGGUGAAAUGCGUAGAUAUCUGGAGGAAUACCUGUGGCGAAAGCGGCCUCCUAAACGAAUACUGACACUGAGGGUGCGAAAGCGUGGGGAGCAAACAGGGAUUAGAUACCCGU